UACGGAGGGUGCGAGCGUUGUCCGGAAUCAUUGGGCGUAAAGGGCGCGUAGGUGGCCCGGUCAGUCUUUGGUGAAAGCGCGGGGCUCAACCCUGCGUCGGCCAGGGAUACUGCCGCGGCUCGAGCACUGUAGAGGCAGGCGGAAUUCCGGGUGUAGCGGUGGAAUGCGUAGAGAUCCGGAGGAACACCGGUGGCGAAGGCGGGUCUCUGGGCCGAUACUGACGCUGAGGAGCGAAAGCGUGGGGAGCGAACAGG
Molecule: ribosomal RNA, 254 nt
Filed under: uncultured bacterium
Lineage: Bacteria
Description: partial 16S ribosomal RNA
Rfam family: Bacterial small subunit ribosomal RNA
Source: RNAcentral